ACCAACAAACACCAACAAAGACACACUCAGCCAGCCUCACCCCAACACCGCACCUCAUCCAGGUAUAUAUAUCUAUAUAUAUUCGCAUCAAGGGAGGAUGUCUCCUGGCAGCUCUCUCUAUCCACAAUGGUUCUCCUCCUCAUGACCCCGGCCAUAGCGGCCGCCCUCGACAGCUUGCCCGCCUCAAUCCGUGACGAGCUCUCCCUGCCAACUGCUCCUGCGAGCGCCGCGAUAUCACACACACAGCUCACUGCCCUCUCCAGAUACCUUGUGUCCAACCCUCCAUUCACAGAGAAACCCACAGAUCCAUCUAAUGGAGCUGUUAAUCGAUGUGAGCGCUUCUCGCUCAACUCGCUUCUCAAGGGCACCAGGGUCUAUUUCCCCCCCCCUCCACCAAAACCGGAACCUACGCCCGAAUACCUCGCCCUAAAAGCUUCCCUCGUCGCCGCCGAGGAAGCAAGAAGGUACAAUGCUCUCCUAAACGCUGCCUCCUCAAGCCCUCCAUCUCGGAUUUGGGGUCUCAACGACCCUCCAGCGACAAACAUAUAUUCACAUCCCAAACAACACCACCACAACAACAACGACAACAAUAACAUAAACAUAAACACCAUCAACGAUCUUGACGCCGACGACCCCCUAACCCCAUCCGUGGUUCUCAACAUUCUCGUCUCGAUCCUCUUCACGGGUUUCGCAACGUACUGGGCCCUCUCCAACUUCCGCAUCCCGACCUUCUUCACAUUCACAUCCUCAGCGGCGCCGUCACAUCCCGGCGCCGUCUCUUCACAGCCUGCACGGGUGUUUAUUUCGAUGCUCGUCGCACUGCUGGUGGGCGUGGCGGAGGUGGGUAUUUUUGCGCUGUAUUUGAGGAAAGUGGAGUUGGCGAGGGGAAGGGAAAGUGCGAUUGUUGAGAGGAAGGUCGUGAUUGGGGAGGUUAAGAUUGGCGGAGGUGACGGAAGGCAUGGUGGUGAUGAUGGGUCUGCGGUUAGCAUUGACGAUACGAAGGGGGCG
RNAcentral lists this small RNA (1008 nucleotides) under Histoplasma capsulatum. RNAcentral's name for it is "hypothetical RNA". The record is from RNAcentral. Lineage: Eukaryota; Fungi; Ascomycota; Eurotiomycetes; Onygenales; Ajellomycetaceae. RNAcentral also lists the same sequence under 1 other name.